Molecule: ribosomal RNA, 2898 nt
Filed under: Pseudomonas granadensis
Lineage: Bacteria; Pseudomonadati; Pseudomonadota; Gammaproteobacteria; Pseudomonadales; Pseudomonadaceae
Description: bacterial LSU rRNA
Rfam family: Bacterial large subunit ribosomal RNA
Source: RNAcentral
AUAUGGUCAAGUGAAGAAGCGCAUACGGUGGAUGCCUUGGCAGUCAGAGGCGAUGAAAGACGUGGUAGCCUGCGAAAAGCUUCGGGGAGUCGGCAAACAGACUUUGAUCCGGAGAUGUCUGAAUGGGGGAACCCAGCCAUCACAAGAUGGUUAUCUUGUACUGAAUACAUAGGUGCAAGAGGCGAACCAGGGGAACUGAAACAUCUAAGUACCCUGAGGAAAAGAAAUCAACCGAGAUUCCCUUAGUAGUGGCGAGCGAACGGGGACUAGCCCUUAAGUGGCUUUGAGAUUAGCGGAACGCUCUGGAAAGUGCGGCCAUAGUGGGUGAUAGCCCUGUACGCGAAAAUCUCUUAGUCAUGAAAUCGAGUAGGACGGAGCACGAGAAACUUUGUCUGAAUAUGGGGGGACCAUCCUCCAAGGCUAAAUACUACUGACUGACCGAUAGUGAACUAGUACCGUGAGGGAAAGGCGAAAAGAACCCCGGAGAGGGGAGUGAAAUAGAUCCUGAAACCGUAUGCGUACAAGCAGUGGGAGCCCACUUUGUUGGGUGACUGCGUACCUUUUGUAUAAUGGGUCAGCGACUUAUUUUCAGUGGCGAGCUUAACCGAAUAGGGGAGGCGUAGCGAAAGCGAGUCUUAAUAGGGCGUCUAGUCGCUGGGAAUAGACCCGAAACCGGGCGAUCUAUCCAUGGGCAGGUUGAAGGUUAGGUAACACUGACUGGAGGACCGAACCGACUACCGUUGAAAAGUUAGCGGAUGACCUGUGGAUCGGAGUGAAAGGCUAAUCAAGCUCGGAGAUAGCUGGUUCUCCUCGAAAGCUAUUUAGGUAGCGCCUCAUGUAUCACUGUAGGGGGUAGAGCACUGUUUCGGCUAGGGGGUCAUCCCGACUUACCAAACCGAUGCAAACUCCGAAUACCUACAAGUGCCGAGCAUGGGAGACACACGGCGGGUGCUAACGUCCGUCGUGAAAAGGGAAACAACCCAGACCGUCAGCUAAGGUCCCAAAGUUAUGGUUAAGUGGGAAACGAUGUGGGAAGGCUUAGACAGCUAGGAGGUUGGCUUAGAAGCAGCCACCCUUUAAAGAAAGCGUAAUAGCUCACUAGUCGAGUCGGCCUGCGCGGAAGAUGUAACGGGGCUCAAACCAUACACCGAAGCUACGGGUAUCAUCUUAGGAUGAUGCGGUAGAGGAGCGUUCUGUAAGCCUGUGAAGGUGAGUUGAGAAGCUUGCUGGAGGUAUCAGAAGUGCGAAUGCUGACAUGAGUAACGACAAUGGGUGUGAAAAACACCCACGCCGAAAGACCAAGGUUUCCUGCGCAACGUUAAUCGACGCAGGGUUAGUCGGUCCCUAAGGCGAGGCUGAAAAGCGUAGUCGAUGGAAAACAGGUUAAUAUUCCUGUACUUCUGGUUAUUGCGAUGGAGGGACGGAGAAGGCUAGGCCAGCUUGGCGUUGGUUGUCCAAGUUUAAGGUGGUAGGCUGAGAUCUUAGGUAAAUCCGGGAUCUUAAGGCCGAGAGCUGAUGACGAGUUACCCUUUGGGUGACGAAGUGGUUGAUGCCAUGCUUCCAAGAAAAGCUUCUAAGCUUCAGGUAACCAGGAACCGUACCCCAAACCGACACAGGUGGUUGGGUAGAGAAUACCAAGGCGCUUGAGAGAACUCGGGUGAAGGAACUAGGCAAAAUGGCACCGUAACUUCGGGAGAAGGUGCGCCGGUGAGGGUGAAGGACUUGCUCCGUAAGCUCAUGCCGGUCGAAGAUACCAGGCCGCUGCGACUGUUUAUUAAAAACACAGCACUCUGCAAACACGAAAGUGGACGUAUAGGGUGUGACGCCUGCCCGGUGCCGGAAGGUUAAUUGAUGGGGUUAGCUAACGCGAAGCUCUUGAUCGAAGCCCCGGUAAACGGCGGCCGUAACUAUAACGGUCCUAAGGUAGCGAAAUUCCUUGUCGGGUAAGUUCCGACCUGCACGAAUGGCGUAACGAUGGCGGCGCUGUCUCCACCCGAGACUCAGUGAAAUUGAAAUCGCUGUGAAGAUGCAGUGUAUCCGCGGCUAGACGGAAAGACCCCGUGAACCUUUACUAUAGCUUUGCACUGGACUUUGAAUUUGCUUGUGUAGGAUAGGUGGGAGGCUUUGAAGCGUGGACGCCAGUUCGCGUGGAGCCAUCCUUGAAAUACCACCCUGGCAACUUUGAGGUUCUAACUCAGGUCCGUUAUCCGGAUCGAGGACAGUGUAUGGUGGGUAGUUUGACUGGGGCGGUCUCCUCCUAAAGAGUAACGGAGGAGUACGAAGGUGCGCUCAGACCGGUCGGAAAUCGGUCGUAGAGUAUAAAGGCAAAAGCGCGCUUGACUGCGAGACAGACACGUCGAGCAGGUACGAAAGUAGGUCUUAGUGAUCCGGUGGUUCUGUAUGGAAGGGCCAUCGCUCAACGGAUAAAAGGUACUCCGGGGAUAACAGGCUGAUACCGCCCAAGAGUUCAUAUCGACGGCGGUGUUUGGCACCUCGAUGUCGGCUCAUCACAUCCUGGGGCUGAAGCCGGUCCCAAGGGUAUGGCUGUUCGCCAUUUAAAGUGGUACGCGAGCUGGGUUUAGAACGUCGUGAGACAGUUCGGUCCCUAUCUGCCGUGGACGUUUGAGAUUUGAGAGGGGCUGCUCCUAGUACGAGAGGACCGGAGUGGACGAACCUCUGGUGUUCCGGUUGUCACGCCAGUGGCAUUGCCGGGUAGCUAUGUUCGGGAAAGAUAACCGCUGAAAGCAUCUAAGCGGGAAACUUGCCUCAAGAUGAGAUCUCACUGGAACCUUGAGUUCCCUGAAGGGCCGUCGAAGACUACGACGUUGAUAGGUUGGGUGUGUAAGCGCUGUGAGGCGUUGAGCUAACCAAUACUAAUUGCCCGUGAGGCUUGACCAU